GACGAACGCUGGCGGCGUGCCUAACACAUGCAAGUCGAGCGGAGCUAAUAGUAAUAUUAGUUUAGCGGCGGACGGGUGAGUAACGCGUGGGCAACCUGCCUCACACUGGGGGAUAACACAGGGAAACUUGUGCUAAUACCGCAUAACAUCAUUGAAGGACAUCCUUUAAUGAUCAAAGGAGCGAUCCGGUGAGAGAUGGGCCCGCGUCCAAUUAGCUAGUUGGUGAUGUAACGGACCACCAAGGCGACGAUUGGUAGCCGAACUGAGAGGUUGAUCGGCCACAUUGGGACUGAGAUACGGCCCAGACUCCUACGGGAGGCAGCAGUGGGGAAUAUUGCGCAAUGGGGGAAACCCUGACGCAGCAACGCCGCGUGAAGGAUGAAGGUUUUCGGAUCGUAAACUUCUUUGAUGGGGGACGAAACAAAUGACGGUACCCCAAAAACAAGCCACGGCUAACUACGUGCCAGCAGCCGCGGUAAUACGUAGGUGGCGAGCGUUGUCCGGAAUUACUGGGUGUAAAGGGCGUGUAGGCGGGAAUGUAAGUCAGAUGUGAAAUACCGAGGCUUAACCUCGGGGCUGCAUCUGAAACUAUGUUUCUUGAGUGUCGGAGAGGAAAGUGGAAUUCCCAGUGUAGCGGUGAAAUGCGUAGAUAUUGGGAGGAACACCAGUGGCGAAGGCGACUUUCUGGACGAUAACUGACGCUGAGGCGCGAAAGCGUGGGGAGCAAACAGGAUUAGAUACCCUGGUAGUCCACGCCGUAAACGAUGGAUACUAGGUGUAGGAGGUAUCGACCCCUUCUGUGCCGGAGUUAACACAAUAAGUAUCCCACCUGGGGAGUACGGCCGCAAGGU
This 851-nucleotide ribosomal RNA is filed under the name uncultured bacterium. RNAcentral describes it as "bacterial SSU rRNA". It matches the Rfam family "Bacterial small subunit ribosomal RNA", at positions 28 to 894 of the family's 1533-position model. The record is from RNAcentral.